Molecule: long non-coding RNA, 526 nt
Filed under: Phoenix dactylifera (date palm)
Lineage: Eukaryota; Viridiplantae; Streptophyta; Magnoliopsida; Arecales; Arecaceae
Description: long non-coding RNA (PDAC_LNC006013)
Source: RNAcentral
AGUUUAUGUACACAAAAGUAUUCUUACUUUACCCCAAAAGAAAGAAGCCCUGAUACCAAACUAACGUGUCUCUGGCAGCUAUCAGUGGUAAGGAUCUGAAAGAAAAAGUAAAUGAACGGAUAUGAGCUACACGGCUCAGUAAGUAAUCAUACAUAAUCUUACCGGAUCGAACAUAACGGUAACCAUGUUUAUACAGGGUUUGAGAAGCUGACAUGCAUAUUUAUCUAAUCAUCAUCAUGGCAUAAUAUGUAUGCAAUUUAAAGGAGAUAGCGGUUAUAGCAAAAUACAACAUUUCAUAAGGAUAUAUUCAAAAAAACCCGUUGUAAAACAAUGUAUGCUUUGGCCAAGCACGUUCAUAAAUGUCACGGCCCGCCUGCGCAGGGCACGUGACUAUCGGGCCCACAUGAGGGGGAAACACGGGGCUCCCCUGCCAGAUGUUGGCCGGUUCCGGGGCUUCACGCAAGCGUCCUUCACCCCUCACCGAUUAUGCUUCUCCCCAAAAACACAUUUGCAGGAUUUGGAAGCA